This 382-nucleotide ribosomal RNA is filed under the name uncultured bacterium. RNAcentral describes it as "bacterial SSU rRNA". It matches the Rfam family "Bacterial small subunit ribosomal RNA", at positions 29 to 400 of the family's 1533-position model. The record is from RNAcentral.
AAUGAACGCUGGCGGCGCGCCUAAUACAUGCAAGUCGAGCGAGAAGACGUAGCAAUACGUUUGUAAAGCGGCGAACGGGUGAGGAAUACAUGGGGUAACCUACCCUAGAGUGGGGAAUAACUAGCCGAAAGGUUAGCUGAUACCGCGUACGCUCCUUGGACUUCGGUUCAGGGAGGAAAGCGAUACCGAGGGUAUCGCGCUCUUGGAUGGGCUCAUGUCCUAUCAGCNGUUGGUGAGGUAACGGCUCACCAAGGCUUCGACGGGUAGCUGGUCUGAGAGGACGAUCAGCCACACUGGCACUGCGACACGGGCCAGACUCCUACGGGAGGCAGCAGUAAGGAAUAUUGCGCAAUGGGACGAAAGCCUGACGCAGCGACGCCGC